Molecule: ribosomal RNA, 414 nt
Filed under: Tenodera superstitiosa
Lineage: Eukaryota; Metazoa; Arthropoda; Insecta; Mantodea; Mantidae
Description: partial 12S ribosomal RNA
Source: RNAcentral
GGAUUAGAUACCCUACUAUUUUUAUUGUAAAAUAUGAAACUCGAGUAUUAGUAGUUAAGGUCUUGAAACUUAAAGAAUUUGGCGGUAUUAUAGUCUAUUUAGAGGAAUCUGUUAUGUAAUCGAUAGUCCACGUUGAACCUUACUUAUAUUAUUUCUUGUAUACCGCUGUCUAAGAAUAUACUUUUAGGUUAUUUUCUUAAUAUAAUAUUAAUUAAAAUUUCAGGUCAAGGUGCAGUAAUAUAUAAGUUGAAUAAUGGAUUACAAUAAAUUUUAUUUAUAUGGAUUGUUAUUGAAAUAUAAUUUGAAGGUGGAUUUAAUUGUAAUUUUUUAAAGAUUGUUAAAAUGAUUAAUAGCUCUAUAAUAUGCACACAUCGCCCGUCGCUCUCGUUAUUAAGAUGAGAUAAGUCGUAACAU